Molecule: non-coding RNA, 2140 nt
Organism: Myodes glareolus (Bank vole)
Lineage: Eukaryota; Metazoa; Chordata; Mammalia; Rodentia; Cricetidae
Source: RefSeq, a predicted model, not a curated record
CGUCCAACCAAUGGGACACAUCCUCGCAACUGCCCUUUUCCGUGUGAGUGUCCCGCCCCAUCUUGACUGGUCAGUCCUAGUACAUCUCAGACUGCCUUCCACCCAGCUCCAGUUGUCAGGAUGCCCUGGACCCUCUCUGCACAGCCUCCCCACAUGCUUGCUGCCAGCCAUGACCAGAACUGGAUCUAGGAGGACGCUGCAUCCCGGUGUCUGACCCCACACUAGAGGAGCUAAAGAGAAGCAAAAACAAAGACAGAGAUAUUUAGAGUUUGUAAAUAUAUUCCUGCCUCCGUGCUGGUGAUGUAUCUGCUGCCGCCUUUGGACUGCUCCAGGACUCAGAGAGGACAAAGUGUGCCCUGGCCUUCAUGCGUGCAAGUGGCAGUGCUUUGGUCACCUAGCCACAGACUCUGCUGCUACUGAGCAGGUGAGAAGAAUGAAGAAAAUGCGGUGUUGGCCUAGCAAUGGUCUACGUUACCACUGAGAUUGUGUACCACUGAGAUGCCUAGAAGCUAACUGACCCAUGAGUCAAACAGCCAAUAAUGGGUCAGAAGAGGCACCAGACCCCAUUAAAGAUGGUUGUGAACCACCAUGUGGUUGCUGGGAACUGAACUCAGGACCUUUGGAAGAGCAGGCAAUGCUCUUAACCUCUGAGCCAUCUCUCCAGCCCCCGGCAGUAUGUAUUAAGGCAUUUUACUUCCUACCUCUGAGGUCUGGACAAAUAGUGGAUUCACAGACUUCAAACUAAGGAAAAAUGAUCUCUUACAGAAGGCUUGAAGUGAUGAUAAGGAGCGAGCCACUCACCAUGGCAACAAAAAGUUCCAAGACCAUAGGAGCAAAACCUUGACCAGACCGGGAAGGGGGAGUUGCACAGUGCCCAAUGACAACUUUGAGACACAGUAAACUGGCAAGUGAAGACUUGGAAUGCUUUUUCUUAGUAACCUUGGUUGGACAUCUGUGACUUUGGCCUUGUGACAACUUAACAGAUUUUACAUCUUAUGAAGUCAGAACAAACAAAACAUGGAAUUCAACAAGCAAAAUAUUCUCACCCACAAAGACCAGGUUGUUGUAUUUCUCCAACAUCACAUCAAUGUACAAAGCCCUCUGAGAAGAAUUCAGGAGAAUAAAGGCAUCCAGCUAAGGAAUCUGAAAACCACUGGACAAAUGAGACGUGAAGAAAAAGGACAAAUCAUCCCCCAAAAAAUGUCCCCAGAAAAAGAGUAAUUGGGCAGUCAUCACCCAGAUGCAGAGGAAGCAAGAUAAGAAUGCCUCGCUGAUAAAGGUACCAAGCCACAUGGCUGACACAGACAAAAAUUAUGGGCUAAUAUUUGGAACACAUGGACCUGUCUGUUUUAGGUAAUGCACACAGAUGGUUGAAAAGUUCAGCCUCACCAGCAGUGGUGGCGCACACCUUUAAUCCCAGCACUCGAGAGACAGAGGCAGGUGAUACAUUCAGAUACUUACAAGCAAAAGUGCAGAGAGUUGACCCUCUCCUCAAUGUCUGUUCAUCUGGCUUCCUCUGGAGAUAGCCAAUGUGGCCACAUUUCCUGCAUCUUAUUUUAUGUACAGAUGUAUCUUACAAUGAAAGUUAAGCAGCAAUGAUAGGGGAACAAAUGAGAGAGGGUGUGCGUGGCCAUGGAGAGCUGACAUCCUGAAGACCCUAGAGAACAGCAGUGAACCUGCACACCCAGAGGCAUAGAGAUCACUGACAUUAUGACUUCAACAAUUCUGGAGCCCCGUGAAAAAGGCUUCCUGUUGUUUUCUUUCAAUGACGUCUUGCCUGAGACUGGGAGAAUUACAAGCUAAGAAUGUCAAGAUAAUGGUGCAGGUUUCUAGUGAGGGUCUCUUUAGCUUCAGUGCACAGUGAAAAGAGGAAGGGCAGCUGGUAUUGCUCCAUGACAGCUCAUAGUCUGCUCAAUGAACCUGCAAUCCACAGGAUUGUUACUCCUCUUAGUGAUCUAAUUCCCUUCUGAUGGUAUCACCACCUUCAGCACUGUCACAAGCAAAUGGCAAAGACUGGUUUGGAAAAGGACACACUAUAUUUAAAGCAUAGCAUCCCACCCUUGCCUCCUCACAGUGUAAAAUACUCCAAUCCCCAAAUCUUAACUUGUUCCAAAGUCCAUCCCAAAAGUCUUACUUUGUU